UUUGCCUACGGGGGGCAGCAGUGGGGAAUAUUGCACAAUGGGGGAAACCCUGAUGCAGCAACGCCGCGUGAAGGAAGACGGUUUUCGGAUUGUAAACUUCUGUUCUUAGUGAAGAAGAAUGACGGUAGCUAAGGAGCAAGCCACGGCUAACUACGUGCCAGCAGCCGCGGUAAUACGUAGGUGGCAAGCGUUAUCCGGAUUUAUUGGGCGUAAAGGGAACGCAGGCGGUCUUUUAAGUCUGAUGUGAAAGCCUUCGGCUUAACCGGAGUAG
This 271-nucleotide ribosomal RNA is filed under the name uncultured bacterium. RNAcentral describes it as "partial 16S ribosomal RNA". It matches the Rfam family "Bacterial small subunit ribosomal RNA", at positions 334 to 621 of the family's 1533-position model. The record is from RNAcentral.